CCUACGGGAGGCAGCAGUGAGGAAUAUUGGUCAAUGGGCGAGAGCCUGAACCAGCCAAGUAGCGUGCAGGAUGACGGCCCUAUGGGUUGUAAACUGCUUUUAUGCGGGGAUAAAGUGGGGGACGUGUCCCUUAUAGUAGGUACCGCAUGAAUAAGGACCGGCCAAUUCCGUGCCAGCAGCCGCGGUAAU
This 189-nucleotide ribosomal RNA is filed under the name uncultured bacterium. RNAcentral's name for it is "partial 16S ribosomal RNA". It matches the Rfam family "Bacterial small subunit ribosomal RNA", at positions 338 to 524 of the family's 1533-position model. The record is from RNAcentral.